Ziziphus jujuba (common jujube) is the source of this 945-nucleotide long non-coding RNA. RefSeq lists it as uncharacterized. The record is from RefSeq and is a predicted model, not a curated record. The transcript is spliced from 3 exons. Lineage: Eukaryota; Viridiplantae; Streptophyta; Magnoliopsida; Rosales; Rhamnaceae.
UCCUCACAAGUGAGAAGCUCGAAAAGUAUAGACAAACAUGUUUUGGACACUUACUUGACAUGAAGAACCUCCGGUUCUCUGGUCAGUUAGUGCAUCACCUGCUUUGCAGACAAGUUGAGUCCAACAAUCCAGAAGUACUGGAGUUUAACUUCGGCGGAUCUGCAGUGCGGUUUACGAAGUGGGAAUUCGCACUCAUUAGUGGGUUAAAGUUUUGUAGGUACCCUUCGAUGUAUGAUUUGCAAAUUUCCAAAGGAAAUGAGCUGCGCACGAGGUUGCUAGAUGACAGGAGUGACUUGAAACCGCCUGAACUGGAAUGACUAUUCAAGGAUACACUUUUUGUGGAUGAUUGGGAUGCUGUUAGAAUUGCGUUACUAUAUUUCUUAGUUCAUGGUGUACUCGGAAUGGAUCCGAAGGUUCAAAUAAAAAAAAAAAUUCAUUGAUUUGGUUGCUGAUCUCGACGUAUUUAAUUCCUACCCUUGGGGCAUUCUGAGCUACAAGGAGACGAUCAACUCAUUCCACAAUGCAUUCCAGCUACGAGGACGAGGACGUGCAGUAAAGAAUAUAUCACAGUAUUAUGACCUAAAAGGUUUUCCAUUGGUGUUUCAGGUGUGGGGGUUUGAAGCAAUCCCUGAUUUUGGUAACCAAUUUGCCGACCGGUUGGAAACCCGUUGUCCGAGGAUCCUUGGAUGGCAUACUCCAAGGCAACCGAACCAUUUUGCUGUCCAUAAUUGGUUCUCCUCCAAUAGCAGUUAUGUUGUGCACUGGACGUUAGAUGCUACCGAUGAGGAGAAGACUAUGGAUUACUGGCGAACAAUAGCAGUUGACAUACAUGAAGUUCGCUACACGUCACCUCCAAUUGUAGCACCAAUAGUUGGCGCUAAAGAUGUUAGAGCUAAAGAUGCGUCCAAAGCUGGGGAGCAUUCUAGUGGCCCUCCAGAUUCUAAU